AUAGCGUAUAUUAAAGUUGUUGCAGUUAAAAAGCUCGUAGUUGGAUCUCGGGUACUAGCAUGUGGUACGCUUAAUUGCUGUUACUGCUUGUCUAGUCCUAAUCAAUCGGUUGGCCGUUUAUGCCCUUUACUGGGUGUUUUCGGUAGCCGGUACGUUUACUUUGAGAAAAUUAGAGUGCUUAAAGCAGGCUUUACGCCUGAAUAAUGUUGCAUGGAAUAAUAGAAUAGGACCUCGGUUCUAUUUUGUUGGUUUUGUAGAGCAUUGAGGUAAUGAUUAAUAGGGACAGACGGGGGCAUUCGUAUUGCGGUGUUAGAGGUGAAAUUCUUGGAUUUACUGAAGACUAACUACUG
RNAcentral lists this ribosomal RNA (350 nucleotides) under uncultured eukaryote. RNAcentral's name for it is "SSU rRNA". It matches the Rfam family "Eukaryotic small subunit ribosomal RNA", at positions 594 to 945 of the family's 1831-position model. The record is from RNAcentral.